RNAcentral lists this ribosomal RNA (478 nucleotides) under uncultured bacterium. Its description in RNAcentral is "partial 16S ribosomal RNA". It matches the Rfam family "Bacterial small subunit ribosomal RNA", at positions 28 to 523 of the family's 1533-position model. The record is from RNAcentral.
GACGAACGCUGGCGGCGUGCUUAACACAUGCAAGUCGAACGGUAAGGCCCUUCGGGGUACACGAGUGGCGAACGGGUGAGUAACACGUGGGUGAUCUGCCCUGCACUUCGGGAUAAGCCUGGGAAACUGGGUCUAAUACCGGAUAGGACCACUGCCUGCAUGGGUGGUGGGGGAAAGCUUUUGCGGUGUGGGAUGGGCCCGGGGCCUAUCAGCUUGGUGGUGGGGUGAUGGCCUACCAAGGCGACGACGGGUAGCCGGCCUGAGAGGGUGACCGGCCACACUGGGACUGAGAUACGGCCCAGACUCCUACGGGAGGCAGCAGUGGGGAAUAUUGCACAAUGGGCGCAAGCCUGAUGCAGCGACGCCGCGUGAGGGAUGACGGCCUUCGGGUUGUAAACCUCUUUCAGCACCGACGAAGCGCAAGUGACGGUAGGUGCAGAAGAAGGACCGGCCAACUACGUGCCAGCCGCCGCCGUAA